Capsicum annuum is the source of this 107-nucleotide non-coding RNA. The record is from Rfam. Lineage: Eukaryota; Viridiplantae; Streptophyta; Magnoliopsida; Solanales; Solanaceae.
UUUUGGUGAUGCAGGAAAUCUCUAUAAAAAGACUUGGAUCUUUCCCAUACAUGAUAGAGAUUUUUAUCUAUCUUCUUCUUAAAACUUAAGAUCUCGCUUCUCAGCCU